AUUCAUUGCUCUCAUAAUUUGUACCGAAGUCAAUAUGGAGUGGUCAGAAACGGGAAGAUGGGCUAAGUUGCCAAGAACAGUGGACAUGUCAACAAUGAAAAUGAAAUGGAUCGAAUUAAAAGUUUUGGUAAAAGAAAACAGUUGCAUAUACAUGCUGACAAGAAAGGACUUACAUGAAGAAGAAGUGUUGUACAACUAUGAGAAUGGAAGGAUGAUUUGGUGUUUAAUUGAGGAAAUGGAUAAAAAAUAUGUAUGUGUCGAGCAACUAUAGCCACUUGAUAGAAGGGUAAAUUAGAAAGUUCAGAUUACAUUAUGCCAACAAAGAUGAUAACAAAACCAACCAAGCUAAAAGUUGUCCAGGAAAACUUUUGUAUUGGAGCAAGACAAGUUAAUGACUUAAUGAUAGACUCACUGCAGAGAGAGAUGUUGGAAAAGUGGAUUUUGUUAACAAAAGGAAGAUAAGAUCAAGGCUGCCAACCUUUGAGAGAAACACUUCAAAAAAGAGUGUUUAAAUUCAAGACAUUCAGUUACAGUACUCUAUAAAAAUUAUAAAGUAAAAGUUAUUUAUUUAAUUUGGAAAAGUAUUUGAGAAACAGAGGAUGUGAAAAAGACUUUGUCCAUUUCAAGCUAUCUGUUGUCAAGUACCAGGCAUAUGUGGAUUUUAUUCAACAACUUUAUUAUAAAUUUGAAUAGCAACUUUCAAUAUCUGGAAGCAUUUUUAUCAGUAGGGAUGUAGAUGUUAAAUUAUAUAAAAAUUAUUAUUUACCAAGGAUAUUUAUCAAGAAAAUUUUUGUAGAUUAAUAACAGGUAAAAUUUGUAAUGAGAGAUCUUUUAUUGAUCAUUUGCAGUAGUAAGUGACACUUGUUAUAAUU
Long non-coding RNA from Saccostrea echinata, 872 nucleotides. RefSeq lists it as uncharacterized. The record is from RefSeq and is a predicted model, not a curated record. The transcript is spliced from 5 exons. Lineage: Eukaryota; Metazoa; Mollusca; Bivalvia; Ostreida; Ostreidae.